RNAcentral lists this ribosomal RNA (288 nucleotides) under Triticum aestivum (bread wheat). RNAcentral's name for it is "partial small subunit ribosomal RNA". The record is from RNAcentral. Lineage: Eukaryota; Viridiplantae; Streptophyta; Magnoliopsida; Poales; Poaceae.
AUGUCUCUUGGUCAGGUCUGUCCGAUCCCGGCAAGACUACCUUUGCUGCUGAUCUGGGGCUGCCGCAACCCCUUUUUGCAGCACAGACCGAGACGCUGCGCGCCGAACUGCAAGCCCUGGUUACCGCCCGUGUGGAGGAGGUCGUUCAACCUCUCCGCGACAUGGCGGUCGCUUUGCAGGGAUGGGCGGCUCGGGUCUCAGGCCUCUUGGAGCGGCUGGAGGAUAUCAGUGAUGCGGGUGUGGCCGGUUGCUCAUCCGAGGUACUGGCUACUGUGGCUCUACCUGUAG